RNAcentral lists this ribosomal RNA (253 nucleotides) under uncultured bacterium. Its description in RNAcentral is "partial 16S ribosomal RNA". It matches the Rfam family "Bacterial small subunit ribosomal RNA", at positions 524 to 776 of the family's 1533-position model. The record is from RNAcentral.
GACAGAGGUGCCGAGCGUUAGGCGGAAUCACUGGGCUUAAAGCGUGUGUAGGCGGAUCGUUAAGUACCUUGUGAAAUCCCACGGCUCAACCGUGGAACUGCUGGGUAUACUGGCGGUCUUGAGCCACCUAGGGGCGAGCGGAACAAGCGGUGGAGCGGUGAAAUGCGUAGAUAUCGCUUGGAACGCCAACGGUGAAAACAGCUCGCUGGGGGUGUGCUGACGCUGAGACACGAAAGCGUGGGGAGCAAACAGG